This 501-nucleotide ribosomal RNA is filed under the name uncultured bacterium. RNAcentral's name for it is "partial 16S ribosomal RNA". It matches the Rfam family "Bacterial small subunit ribosomal RNA", at positions 30 to 523 of the family's 1533-position model. The record is from RNAcentral.
AUUGAACGCUGGCGGCAGGCUUAACACAUGCAAGUCGAGCAGGGGAAGGUAGCUUGCUACCGGACCUAGCGGCGGACGGGUGAGUAAUGCUUAGGAAUCUGCCUAUUAGUGGGGGACAACAUCUCGAAAGGGAUGCUAAUACCGCAUACGUCCUACGGGAGAAAGCAGGGGAUCUUCGAACCUUGCGCUAAUAGAUGAGCCUAAGUAGGAUUAGCUAGUUGGUGGGGUAAAGGCCUACCAAGGCGACGAUCUGUAGCGGGUCUGAGAGGAUGAUCCGCCACACUGGGACUGAGACACGGCCCAGACUCCUACGGGAGGCAGCAGUGGGGAAUAUUGGACAAUGGGGGGAACCCUGAUCCAGCCAUGCCGCGUGUGUGAAGAAGGCCUUAUGGUUGUAAAGCACUUUAAGCGAGGAGGAGGCUACUUUAGUUAAUACCUAGAGAUAGUGGACGUUACUCGCAGAAUAAGCACCGGCUAACUCUGUGCCAGCCGCCGCCGUAA